This 69-nucleotide transfer RNA is filed under the name Marmota marmota marmota (Alpine marmot). It matches the Rfam family "tRNA". Rfam says of the family: Transfer RNA (tRNA) molecules are approximately 80 nucleotides in length. Their secondary structure includes four short double-helical elements and three loops (D, anti-codon, and T loops). Further hydrogen bonds mediate the characteristic L-shaped molecular structure. tRNAs have two regions of fundamental functional importance: the anti-codon, which is responsible for specific mRNA codon recognition, and the 3' end, to which the tRNAs corresponding amino acid is attached (by aminoacyl-tRNA synthetases). tRNAs cope with the degeneracy of the genetic code in two manners: having more than one tRNA (with a specific anti-codon) for a particular amino acid; and 'wobble' base-pairing, i.e. permitting non-standard base-pairing at the 3rd anti-codon position. Lineage: Eukaryota; Metazoa; Chordata; Mammalia; Rodentia; Sciuridae. RNAcentral also lists the same sequence under 1 other name. The record is from Rfam by way of RNAcentral.
GGGGCUGUGGCUCACUGGUAGAACACUCCCCUAACAUGGGAGAGGCAUUGGGUUCAACCCUCAGCACCA